This is a long non-coding RNA of Eriocheir sinensis (Chinese mitten crab), 10676 nucleotides long. RefSeq lists it as uncharacterized. The record is from RefSeq and is a predicted model, not a curated record. Lineage: Eukaryota; Metazoa; Arthropoda; Malacostraca; Decapoda; Varunidae. The transcript is spliced from 2 exons.
GGAGAAGAGACUGAUUACACACUUGGGCUUCACUGGGAACGUGGCUAGUGAGAGAACAAAACCUAACGUAACUGAGGUGCUCAUGGACAUAGAGUAAAAUCUAACGCUCCUGAAGCAAGUGUUCAGUGACAGCGAGAGCCAAGAAAAAAAAAACUUAAGCCUAAAUGGAGAUGAAAUUAGAGCAAGAGUUCCCAACCAGGGGAGAAGUUCCUCCCAGGGGGUGAUUUCAAGGUUUCAGGGACGAAAUUCGGAUCAUAGAUGGGCACUCACGUUUGAAGAUUUUUUUUUCCUCACCUUCGCGCUACCUAUGGGGGCACAAAAGGCAGCAGGCGUCGGUCACCUGCUGCAGCAGCCCAUCGGGCCAUGUGCCUCAAGCUACUGAGCCAUAAGGUUCGAAAUAGCUUACCCCUUGACAGGGCGUCCAGACUUACUCUCUCCCUGGUAAUCUUUUACGAGCACCUCCCUCACCUCACCCCCUCCGGUAAAGUGUUGUACUGCACCGCCUCCCGCAGGAGAGGUAUGCGCCUUUUGGGUCAGACAAUCUUGGAAAGGAAGGAAUGGCACACUGACACAUGGUGAAAAGGGUGCAAUGGGCAAAAAAAGGUUGAGGACCACUGAAUGGAUGAAGAUAACAACAGUGGUGCCUGAAGGAAGAGGUCACUUUGUUGGCCUUUGUCUUUUUGGCCCAUUUUUUCAAGGCGUGGUUAGUUAGUUUUGUUGACUUUUUCAUCCUUUAAUAUGACUGAGUUUGUGAUAUGUCGACUUAACUUUGAAAAUCCAACACUUGCAGCCAAGUCCAUCCCAAAAAUGGAGUUAAAAAUCCAAAGUAGCCACCGCACUGUUGAUAAAUACUAAUACGUUAAAAAAAUCAGGUAAUAGCCCAUUGAUGGGUAUUACCAGUGUCGCCCGAAAUGAUGAUCAUCAUCUCGGCCGACACUCCCAUAACUUCGUUCCGAUAAUUAAAAAGCGUAAUCACCGAACCCACUCCACGAUCUCUUAUCUUCUGAAGUACUGGAAAACAGUGAGUGAGUGAGUGAGUGAGUGAGUGUGUGUGUGUGUGUGUGUGUGUGUGUGUGUGUGUGUGUGUGUGUGUGUGUGUGUGUGUGCGCGCGCGCGCGCGCGCUCUCAGUCUUUCCUCCCACGUGCAUCAUAUACGGUAACUCCUUAACUUGUGUUUACUUUUAAUACAGGGUUUAACAUGCAACGCGGGGCUUAAUGUGAGAUAUCAUUCGCCAGGCAUCGACCAACUAUACGCUAAUUAAUUAACAAAAAGUUCCACCUAACAAUUUCAAGAGAUAAAAUAAAUCUAGUUUUACAUAUAGCCCCAGACACGGAGUUUUCAACCAGGGGGUAUUACGGGGGAAUUUGGAUCACAGAUUGACAGACUCAAACAUUUGUAAUACGUAUUUAUCUUUUUACUGCCUUCAAGCUUCCCGCGGCGGCACAACAGGCAGCAGGCAUCAGUUGCCUGCUGCAGCCCCCAUCUUACCCUGUGCCACAGGCUCCUGAACGAUAAGGUUCAAACUACCUUACCCAAAGACAGGACUGUCACACCUACGCUUUCCCUCGGCCUCCUGCAAUGAGCAGCCCCACCCUAAGAUCUAUAGAUAUAUGCUUCACCCGCCCCACCCCCUCCAGUGAAGCGACGCCGCUGCACCCCCCUCGCAGGUAAGGUAUGACUCGUGCUUUCGGAAAGGAGGGUAUGACAUUCUUACAUAUGGUAAAAAGGGUCUCUUGAGCAAAAAAGGUUAAAAACUACUGGUUUAGACUCUACAGUAGACUUGGGAUGGAAGCCAUGCAGGCAACAUACGACAGCUUAGAGAACAUUAAUGUAAAUAAGUUAACGAACGUGUAGGAAAUAGGCAAAAUCCGAGGUGUUCAGGAAUACCGAAUUUUUUUUUUUUCCAAUAUUUGUGGUUAGGAGUUAGGAUGAGUCCUUUAACAAAGGAAGAGGGAAAAAGAGGCAUCUCCACCUCACUUCCGUUCUGGGGUUGUUGAUUCGAGGCAAGGACCAUCAAGGAAAUUACUGUGCUAACCCAAAUACAAUCGAAGUCUUCUUGUUUACUUCCGAGUGCCUCAUAAUAAAACUACAAUAAUCGCCUUACUUCAGUCCCCGUUUCCAUGUUCUCCCUUGUAUGUUUUGAAACUACAGUGACUCCAAAUACUAUCGCAGUUUCCUGGUUCAUUGCGUCAAUUGCAACUAUAAUGAUCCAACUUACAUCACGUCUCCUUGUUCUUUGUAUGUCUUGAAACUACAAUGAUCGCCUUACUUCAACUGCGGUUUUCUCAUUCUCUUUUGUAUGUCUUGAAACUACAAUGAUCCAACUUCAAUCGUUGUUUAUUCUUUCUCUUUUGUACGUCUUGAAACUGCAAUGAUCCAACUUCAAUCGCUGUUUCUUUGUUCUUUGCACGCCUUUUUUCAAUCGCUGUUUCUUCUUUCUCUUUUCCAUGUCUUGAAACUACAAUUAUCACCCAAAUACAGUCUAAUUCUUCUCGUUUUGUUUUGUGGAUCGCUUGAAACCAUACUAUGAUCAUCCAUAUACAAUCGCCGCAUCUUUACUAGUGUCCUGUUGAUGUUAAGAUUCCCUUAUGUAAUGAACUUAUUCUAGCCAUACACACAGACUUGUAUAACGUGUGUGUGUGUGUGUGUGUGUGUGUGUGUGUGUGUGUGUGUGUGUUGCUAGCAGUUUCCCCUUGUACGUUAAACUGGCAAGCACGAUUAGCAGCCGUGUGUGUGUGUGACCCUGACUUGGCCGGGGUUGUUGCCGUGGAGACUGCACCCCCCACCCCACCCCCAUCACCUCUCCUACACCCCGUUCCGCCCCUUCCCCGUCCUUUCCCUUCCCCUGCCGUCCCCUGCGUCACCUCCACGUAGCAAUGUUAGGAGGUGAGGUUGCCCGGUACCCCCUGCCAGCCACCCCCAUGCAUGUGUAGGUAUAUUCUUGGGAGUUGGGGACGUGACUUACGCUGUCUGUCACUGCUUGGGAAUACUACCGUUGACUACGUGUGUGUGUGUGUGUGUGUGUGUGUGUGUGUGUGAUCAUGUGCAGGACUCAUGAUCGCCAGAGAGAGAGAGAGAGAGAGAGAGAGAGAGAUUCACCCACCUGCACGCGCGGGCGCAUACGCGCGCGCGUGUGCACACACACACACACACACACACACACACACACACACACACACACACACACACACACACACACACACACACACACACUUUACCCCCAUCCCCCCACCCUUACACACAAUUAUCUACAUCCCCCUACUCCGUCUCCCCCAUCCCACGUCAUACACACAGGUCCAGAGUGUCGCUUGGGUGGCGCCGUGCGUGAGGCAACCUUCCCGCGUCAAGGUGCUCCCGUCAGCGUGCACCACCGGGCUGCGACACGGGGGAGCGUCUGAAGGCUAUUGGGUGUGUGUAAACUUGUAAAGAAACUAAAGAUCUUGUGGGUUACGCACCACGAGCCCCGUGAAGGUGGAGCAAUACCUGUGAGGGGGUGGAGGUAAAGUCCUUCUCUCGGUGUGUGAAAGUAACAAGUGGACGACUCUAUAUAAUCGGAGAGGCUGUACAAGUCUAACUUACGGGGAGCAUACUUCAGGCGGCGCGUUGUUUCACUCACUCGCCGCAUCCACUCAGAUGAUCCCCCCCCGAGCAAGCUCUCACGCAGUUACCCAUCCCAUUCUAAGCCCCUCCAGGCCGGAUCGGCUGACUUGCCCCAGCCAUGAGUUACGUGGGCGCCCCCUUGGUCUCCUCCACUCAGGGUUGUCUCGUACAGAAACAACCCUGUGAGCAGGAUCGACGUCCGGGCAGCGCGCCACGUGCCGAUAUAGCCGGAGUUGGCGUUCACGGACUUAGUUCCUGACAGGCCUCAAUACAGUUUCAUCACGUAGUCGCUGAUUCGGCACGAAGUCAUUCCAGGGAUACCCCAUGACCCUGAGUAUACCAAGUGUAUACGUCUAAUAAUAAUGAAUUAAAAGGUACACGGUAGACUCUUCAGAGCGUUGGUACGGGAAUAGAGGAGAGCAGGUUGUUCAAAUUGCGAUAGACUACAAGGUGAUUCGCAGCCUCUUCCCAUAUAGAUCGGUUGAUUACCAAAUGCUACCAGAUGACGUUGGGUACACCAACACUGUCUAGACCAGACAGUGUUGGUGUGCCAAAGGUUAUUAUACGGGCUUAAUCUUAUCAUACAAUAACAUAAGAUUAAGUAACACCAGUAUAGUAACCUUUGCAACCGCUAAAACACACUGAAAAGAAUCGGACCGAAAACAAGUCUUCCCCGCACAGUCCUUGCUUCAAAUGCCACAAGACUCGCUCCUGCUAGUCCUGUCAAGUCACCGGCUCCUCCUUGGCGACAGCGUACUAGGAGACGACCUUGGCGCGCAUGAGAACACCCUUUCGAGCAGUCAUGAUGCAGAAAAACGCCGCCGCUUGUCCUCACUAAAGCAAGUAACUCCCACCACCAAGAUCCUGACUCCCGCUACAGUAAAGGACGCAGCUCAAGGACAAACAUAAAAAAAACCACUAGCAUUCAUAUCUACAUACACUCAGUUCCACUCCUAUACACAUAACACGACCCUUCCACCACAGAAAAAGAAGUAACUCAAGGGCAAAAAAUAUGAAAAAGAAAACUAGCACAUUCAUAUACUGACAUCCCACUCCUAUAAGCACAACACAACCCUUCCACAACACCCACAAGCAAGAAUACACCCACUACACUUACAUCCCACUCCAAUACACACAACACAACCCUUCCACUACAUCCAUGAGCAAGAUUACACCCACUACACUGACAUCCCACUCCAAUACACACAACACAACCCUUCCACUACAUCCACGAGCAAGAUUACACCCACUACACACAGCCCCACUUCUAUAAAACCCAAACAACUUUUCCACUACACCCAGAAGCAAGAUUACACCCGCUACACUCACCCCCACUACCAUCAGGCCCCACCAGGAAGAUGCCUACCGGCGCAACAGGCAACGACGUAAAAAAAAAAAAAAAAAAAAAACACAACCCAUCCACUACACCUACAAGCAAGAUUACACCCACUACACUCACCCCCACUACUGUAAACACAACACAACCCGUCCACUACACCUACAAGCAAGAUUACACCCACUACACUCAUAUCCCACUUAUACAAGCCUCCCACUACACCCAAGGACACACACUCCCUCCCCUCCACUACACCCCCCCUCCCCCCCCACGAUGCAACACAACACAGCAGUCCCUCUCAAUUACAUCCUAUUCAGUACCGUCCCUUCCCCAGUUAUGUUCUAUCAAUACCUGCAGCUCACGCUUACUACUACUGCUACUACUACUACUAAUAAUAAUAAUAAUGAGAAAGAAUAGGGAUAGAGGAGGUGGUAGAAGAGGAAGGAGGGGAGGACGUGGUGGAGGAAGAGGAGGAGGGGGAGAAGAGAUACAGACGUACAAGACUGAAUGAAAAAAGUGUGUGUGUGUGUGUGUGUGUGUGUGUGUGUGUGUGUGUGUAUCAUUCAACCUACAUGGAUAUUCGUGCACAAACAUCGAUAAGGGACAGCAUAUCACAAUUUAACGAAACCAUACUAUAUAAUGGUCAUCUCAAGAGUACGAUAACAUAAGAGCGAAGCACGAUAACCUGCCCUAAAGAGUUCGAUAAGACGGAGGGGAUCGAGUACAAUAACCUCCUGCUGGCGUGAUCGUGGCGGGAACCUCAUAUCAGUCAAGGGCCUCUUCAGCGCUAUCGCCCUUAUCGGUGACUUCAAUCUUGGCUUCUUGUGUAAUGUCCUCUGAAUGACAUAGCUCUACUUGGCCCUACUUGGCUGUACCUUGUGGCGUCGUUUCUUUGCCUGGUUUUCAAUUUUGUGUGAUUGAGAAAGAUAAACGCAAAGUUGAGGGCAUACGGUAUAGCUGGUUGUGGUGCUCAUUUCCAUAUCGUUGGCAGUUUGAGCCCGUAGUAGGAAGACAGACAGAGACAGAGUCGAACUAAAAUGUUAAUGGAAAGCUGUUAUUGCAAAGAGUUGAGACAGGUGCAUUGCGGCCAGACAGGUGCUACACACUUACUUUUAAAAUUAAUCAUCUCACUCACAACUUGCCCCAAAAUAAUAUAGAUACCGUCAUUUCCCGAUUUUUGGUGAAUAUUUAGUGUUCAAUGAGGCCAAUGACGCUUCAUGGUGUUACCGGACAACAUUUUGUGAUUGAUGCAAAAUGCGUUCAUGGGUCUGAGGGGGUUCAAGUGUCACCAUCCGCUCAUAUUACAAGUUCGUCCUUCCUAGCAAUCUACUUCUACUACUAUAAUCUUUACUACUACUACCUUAUUCAGUCAUGCUAGCUAAGCCUAUUCCUUUGAUUCACACCUCUUUAAAUAUCGAGUACGCUACCUGGCUCUUGUGUCAGCGAAUCAGGUACGCAGACAACGCUGUACAUGAACAACCUCUAGAGCGAAGGUAGUGGUCGUACGUGUUUUUAUAGGGGGCUGGCGUAUAAGAAUGUGUGUGCGUGCCGGCAACUCUCGAGACAAAGUAAGAAUUAAAGAGUACGUGUUUUUGUGCAAGUCUGAAGAUGUGUGUGUGUGUGUGUGUGUGUGUGUGUGUGUGUAAUUCACCACGGCCUUAUCACGAGUUGGACUCGCUUUCGCCAGCAGGCACCCUCACGACGUGAGCAAGUGCUCAUUAUUGUCGAUCUCCUCACACACCACACACCCCAUCUCCCUUGCUAAAGGGGGGACAGUAACCACUCCUAGUCAACGGAAAGAAUCCGGCCUGAGCGGGGUUCGAACUGCCGCCUGUUUGGCCGUGAAGCCUUGCAGCGCGGCGCUCUAACCGAUUGAGUUACCAGAGUGUGUGUGUGUGUGUGUGUGUGUGUGUGUGUGUGUGUGGCAAGAUCUCAAGGCCCCAGUAACCUUUCGGAAGCGGGGCGGACGGAGCAGCAUGCGUGCGUGUGUGUGUGUGUGUGUGUGUGUGUGUGUGUGUGUGUGUGUGCGAGAGAGAGAGAGAGAGAGAGAGAGAGAGAGAGAGAGAGAGAGAGUCGAAGCGAAGCAUAUAGGACCAGUCAAGCGAAGAAAGGUUAAGUCGUGGUUAAGUCUGCGCGUGGCAUUGCGAAACCCUUCAUGCGAUCAAAAUAAACAUAAAAACUUUCCCAUUAUACCCUCAUAAAACUAAUAAUUUAUAGUAUUAAUAAUAAUAUAAAAAUAUCUAAGUAAUGGUUUUCCCGUUCAUGGUGCAGAAGUCAGAUUGAACUAUCGCUAGGAUCACAAAAGUCCAUGAAAAUCCCAACAACUUCUACGAGGGGCUUUUCAAACAGGCGAAGUCAUGUGCAGAGAAGUUUAAGAAUACAGGAAUACGGGCAACACAGGAUUACAUGAAUAUCCCAGUAACUUUUACGUGAGGCUUUGCAUAUUGACGAACCGAGGUGCUGAGACGUGUAGGAAGGAAUAUAGGCUUUUAUGUGACAUGCCGUAGUCAACCAAACGUGGAACAUCUGCAGACCGAUGAUACCGUAGCAGCGUUGCCAAAUUAUCGUAUUAAGCGAAUUGCAUUUUGGUAGUUUCUGACCGAUAACUAUAGCAAAAAAGAACUAAACCCAUCAAUAUUUAACAGUUUCAACGCUAACUUUAAUUUCCUAUCGUUAUUUGUGUGGUUACGACAGUCUUGGAGCCUAAAAAUGAUAAAUGCAAUGUUCAGUGUACGAGAAUUUGGCAGAGUUGUACCGUAGGCUCAGAAAUUUCCAUGCUCUACACCGAAAAAAAAAGGUUGGCAGUAUUUACGUAACUCAGUAAUUUUAAAAGGUUCUCCGAGUGUCUGAGAGCCGGUGACACACGUGAACGUAUCUAAUCAGGAAAAGUUCUUAAGAUUACUCGUGAGAAUGUUCUUACUCGAAAAGGAUUAUAAUUAUCAGCUUAUCGUAUAGAGAUGUUGAACCACGCAGCAGCCUCACUAUCUUGCAUCCACUACUACCUAACUAAAUAGUCGGGUGUAUGUUCCCCGUUAGUUAGGAUAUGCAAGAUUGUAUGAUUCUCAGCGUCUCUGUAUUCUUAACUGCAACUGAAAAUGUCUCACUAAACACCGCUUCUCAGAAUUUAAAAGACAACUGGAUGUUUAGAGGGUAGUAUCAGGCAGAGGACAAGCGGAUAGGCCUACAGACCAAGCCCCGCAUUCUUGGUCCUUACCCCACCCCCCCACCCACCCCGGCGUCUACCUCCUGUACGUCACGUCAGCCACGGUAACCAAACCUACCCCCAACACAACUUCCCUAACUAAUGAGAUUCUCCCGACAUUCUUAAACGUCGUAAUAGUCUUUGAUAACUAUAUAGUGUGGCUGAUUUGUCUUUUUAGAGCCGUUUUUUCAACUUGGUAUAUUUGCGUCAUCACCAAGAAAGUUAAGCUGUAGCCUUUAACCCUAAAAUUUGUUCAUUGAAAGGUAUUGGAGAAUGACGACUGGCUGGAUGACACAAACUGAUAUCAAGGGAAUGAAAGAGAGGGGAAAGAAGAAAAGAGAAAACUUGUAAUAUAGGUAAUGGAUACGCGUCCUAUAAGCUUAUGGGACGAGAAAGGUCAAGGAACGGCGUCUGGCUGGCUGAUAUUGCUGAAACUGAUAUCAAGGGAAUGAGAAAGGAAAGGAAAGAGGGAAGGAAAGGAAGAGAAAGCUUGUAAUAUGGGUGAUGGAUACACGUUCUUAUAAGCUUAUGGGAUGAGAAAGGUCAGGAACGACAAGGAACGGCGUCUGGCUGGCUGAUAUUGUUGAAACUGAUAUUAAGGGAAUGAGAAAGGAAAGGAAAGAGGGAAGGAAAGGAGAAGAAAGCUUAUAAUAUGGGUGAUGGAUACACGUUCCUAUAAGCUUAUGGGAUGAGAAAGGUCAAGGAACGGCAAUGAAUGGCGUGUGGCUGGCAGAUAUUGCUGAAACUGAUAUCAAGGGAAUGAGAAAGGAAAGGAAAGAGGGAAAGAAAGGAAGAGAAAGCUUGCAAUAUGGGUGAUGAGUACACAUUCUUAUAAGCUUAUGGGACGAGAAAGGUCAAGGAACGGCAAGGAACGGCGUCUGGCUGGCUGAUAUUGCCGAAAAUGAUACCAAGGGAAGGAGAAAGAGAAAGGGGAGAGGGAAGGAAUGGAAGAGAAAGCUUGCAAUAUGGGUGAUGGGUACACGUUCCUAUAAGCUUAUGGGAGGAGAAAGGUCAAGGAACGGCAAUGAACGGCGUGUGGCUGGCUGAUAUUGCUGAAACUGAUAUCAAGGGAAUGAGAAAGGAAAGAGGGAAGGAAAGGAAGAGAAAGCUUGUAAGAUAGGCGAUAAAGACUCUACUAAGCUUAUUGGACGAGAAAAAUCAAAUUACCUUAUAUAACUACUAAAUUAAACAAAACAGGACACUACAACUAUUCAUCAGUAGAAUAUAUAUUAAUCUUUACUUCAGUGCUCUUUUGUAUGGCAAGCUUCAAAUUCCUAGUUGAGGUGACGUGGCCAGCCAGUCAGCCAGCCAGCCAGUCCCUCCCUUCUCCCUCUCUCUCCCACCUCGGUUUCUUCAUCCCAUCCACAACUUUCUCCUCUUUCCCUGCUGUCACAUCCCUCCAUUUACUAGGUUAGGGAGACUUCACUAUACUCGUGUUCCCUUACUUGCAUUCCUCAUUUAUUUGCUGACGAGAAUAAGCAUUGACAGAUCUGUUUUCUAAUUCUAUAUCCUCUAGUUUCUCUCCCUCUCCCUUCUGUCACUCCAUUCACCCGGUUACUCAGAUUUUACUAUACUCGAUGUUUCCUUAUUUUUAUUCCUCAUUUAUUUGCCGACGAGAUAAAACUUUGACUGAUCUGUUGCCUAAUUCUAUAUCCACUACUUGUCUUUCCCUCUCUGCUGUCACUUCUUUUCAUUCACCGAGUUAGACAGACUUUACUAUUCUCACUGUUUCCUUAUUUUCAUUCUUAUUUGCCGACGAGAAAGAAAAAAAAACAUUGAUCUGUUGGCUAAUUCUUUAUCCACUACCUUCCUUUCCCUCCCUGCUGUCACUUCUCUUCGUUUACCGGGUUAGGCAGAUUGUACUAUAUACUCGAGGUUUCCUUAAUUUACUAUCAACGACUGUCUCCCGUUAAAAUCAUGUACUAUCGUUAUGUUAUCGUCACUUUCCACUAAUGUCAAGACUAACGCAAUCUUAUAACUAUCAUGUCUUACACUAACAUGACUGUCACCUGUUAAUAGCACUCUUACGAUCAUGUUACUAAUGUCACUCUUACCACUCAUGUUCUAAGACUGUCACAAUCACUUACUUUUACUUCUACUACCUUGUCUUACGUCAGUCACUUUUACUACCAUGUUUUACUAUCUCUUAUCAUGUCUUACGUUGUCAGAAUAACACACUCGCCUUAACCUAUGUGGCAAACUAACCUAUCACAACCACUCACACUAACAUAUCUUACGCAAGUCACAGCUACAAUCAUUGCCAGUUCUACUAACAUGUCUUACUGUCACUAUCACUCACGCUUUCCACCAUGUCUUACGUCAGUAGCACAAAGCAGUUACUCUACGUGGCAAAUUCACAUAUCACAACCACUCCUAACAUCUUACGUAAGUCACUCCUACAAUCACUGUCACUUCUACUAACAUGUCUUACUGUCACUAUUACUCACUCUUUCCUACGUCAGUAGCACAAAACAGUUAUUCUACGUGGCAAAUUCACAUAUCACAACCACUCCUACUAACAUCUUACGUAAGUCACU